CGUAGCACUGUAUAACAGACCAAUCGUCUCUGACUGGAAUUGCAAAUAUAUUCGGUUAAAUUCGGUAUUACUCGCAGAUCUUUGCUAGAGAAACUUUUUGUUUGAAGUUCGAUAUCGGAAUUGACAAAAAAUGUUCGAAUCAUUCAGCUGUUUCCAUGUAACCUGUGUUCCUUUUCGUUACAUAAUGACAUUAACCGAUAUCACACUUUUUAUGAUAUUCACAGAGAAGAAAAAAGAAGAGAUUUCUAUAUAUAUACUGACAAAUUAAACUUAAAUUCUUUUUUUGUUAUGUACGGAACACAUGUGUGCAUACGUUGCAGCACGGAUUACGAAAACAAAACAAUGUGUCCGAGGUUUCCGAGAACGAUUUAAUAUAUUCUCCAAGGAACAAAGAACGAAAAGAGAGACACUGUUCCCAAAAAACAUGUUUUUAUUCGGACAUUACAUGGUGUCGAUACUUUUUCCUGUAGGCGGGAAAGAUUUCAAGGCGAACUUAAAUUUCAUUCACCGAAAGGCACGCAAAAUCAGCAAGAUCCCAGAUGUUAAGCGAACGCAGGGAGGACUCGUUCAAUUUGAACCCCCUCCUCGACCUCUUAACGUUUGCCACCUAAUGUUCCUGUGUGGACAAAAAUGAAUGAUUCACAAAAGACCAAACGGCCAAGUUAUGACUAUGAGAUAAUAAUAAGUUAUUAUUAUUAUCCAUAAAAGUUACAAUCGUAUAAAGUGCUCUGAACCUUAUAAGUUUAUUAUAUUGUUGUUAACUUUUUCGGCGAUGGACACGCUGAAGGGAAAAUAAAUAGCGAACGUGCGUUAUUUAUUUUAUCGUUCCAAGUCGGACAUAUUGGUGGAUGUGAAGUUAAAAUAGGAAAUUUCAGUUAAUUUAAGAAAUAUUAAUUAUGUUAAGUUAAGUUAAUUUUAAGAAAUUUAACUUAAUUCUGUAAGUCCUACGAUUUUGUCAAUUAUUUUACAAAAAAAAGACGUUGUUGUUGGUUCGUUUUAAUUAUGCGGUUGAAAAAAGGGGAUCAGCUGGGACUUAAUUAGCAAUAUAACUUUUACACAAACACCUUACGUUCUGCGAUCUCGUCGAUUUGCGACCUUCAAUCGAAAAUACUCUAUUAUAUCGCCUUUUACAUAUCCUAUUCAGAGAAUUAAGUUCACCUUGAAAUCUCCUGCAACGCUACACUUACAGAAAAAAACAAUACACACUGUGCGAUGUCUGAACCACCGAAUAGCGUACCUCUGCCGAAAUUUCUUCCUAACUAGGAUUCAUAAAUUAUAACCAUUCCCGAACCGUAAUUCGAGCACAUUGCAUGAUUUGAUUCAAGGACUUAAAAAGUGAUCGUUAUGGUUUUUUCUUUUUUUUUUCAUAGUCCAACAAAUUGUUACCUUGAAUUUUAUUUGCAUUCCCAGAGAAGCAAUGGAAGUAUUUUUUGCGUACACCAAGUUUUAGGAGGACUCGGCCUAUAUACACAGUAAAAUCAUCGUAUCGUAUCUCAAUAUCCGACAUUUAUAAAAAUAUGCGUGUACCUUUGAAACUGAUGCACUUCAAAUCAAUCGUAUGCUAAUGCUGAAUCAUAUGUAUAUGUAUAAUAUUGUAUGUAUACUAUGUAACAACGCUUGA
Megalopta genalis is the source of this 1621-nucleotide non-coding RNA. NCBI's taxonomy places the organism in Eukaryota, Metazoa, Arthropoda, Insecta, Hymenoptera, Halictidae. The record is from RefSeq and is a predicted model, not a curated record.